RNAcentral lists this unclassified non-coding RNA (19 nucleotides) under synthetic construct. The record is from RNAcentral.
GCAAGCUGACCCUGAAGUU